This is a long non-coding RNA of Musa acuminata AAA Group (dessert banana), 723 nucleotides long. RefSeq lists it as uncharacterized. The transcript is spliced from 3 exons. NCBI's taxonomy places the organism in Eukaryota, Viridiplantae, Streptophyta, Magnoliopsida, Zingiberales, Musaceae. The record is from RefSeq and is a predicted model, not a curated record.
GAUGUUAAUGCAAUGGACAAAUUGCCAGAGUAUAUGAAGAUAUGUUUUCUAGCCCUCUUCAACACUACAAAUGACACCGCGUACAAUGUUACGAAAGAGAAGGGUCUGGAUAUAAUUCCACACCUAAAAAAAGCAUGGGCAGAUCUAUGCAAGGCAAGCAUGGUGGAAGCAAGGUGGUACCACCAAGGCUACACACCCAAUCUUGAAGAGUACUUGGAGAACGCACUGGUAUCGAUAGCGGGUCCCCUGGCAUUGACUCUUGCUUAUUGCACCAGUGACGAUGUAACUCGAGAGGCCUUGGACGGUUUCCAAAGCUGUCCUGAGAUUGCAAGAUGGUCAUCAAUGAUCUUUCGACUUUGUGAUGAUUGGGGUACUUCCAAGGACGAGCUUCGAAGAGGCGAUGUGCCCAAAUCUAUAGAGUGUCACAUGCAUGAGAACGGUGUUUCGGAGGACGCGGCUCGUGAGCAUAUCAGGCAAUUGAUUAGAGGGAAUUGGAGAGCAAUAAACGGAGAUCGAAGUUUCACUUCGUGUUUUGAGGAAAACCUAAAAAUGAUAGCCAUCAAUAUUCCUCGAAUGGCCCAUUGCAUGUACCAAUAUGGAGAUGGAUAUGGCAAACCCGAUGGAGUGAUCGAGGAUCGCAUCAGGUCUUUGUUGAUUGAACCUAAACUUAUGUAACAAUGUAAUUAAGGAUAAUAUCGUGAAGCUUUAAGGCUCCUCGUGAUU